GGCUGAUCCAAGUGAAGUAAUGCUUACAACUAAUUUAUCAAAACCAGUUACAGAUUUUUGUGAUUUUUUUCUUUACUCCCAAUGAUUCACUUGACUAGCAAAA
This 103-nucleotide non-coding RNA is filed under the name Cebus imitator (Panamanian white-faced capuchin). The record is from RNAcentral. Lineage: Eukaryota; Metazoa; Chordata; Mammalia; Primates; Cebidae.